RNAcentral lists this long non-coding RNA (3100 nucleotides) under Homo sapiens (human). Its description in RNAcentral is "non-protein coding lnc-NXPH1-2:1". The record is from RNAcentral. Lineage: Eukaryota; Metazoa; Chordata; Mammalia; Primates; Hominidae.
AUUUUAAUCUUUAUUAUAAAAUUAUAACACAAAGAAGAAUCCUGAAGAAUGACCCUAAAGCUUUUGUCACAAUAGCAUUGUAAUGGAAAUACAGGUGUGUUUUCUUUUCUUUCUUUUUUCCUUUUUUGAGACAGGGUCUUGCUUUGUCACCCAGGGUGGUGUGCAGUGGAGCUAUCAUGGCUCACUGUAGCCUCGACCUCCUGGGCUCAAGCAAUCCUCCCACCUCAGCCUAUUGGGCAGCUGGGACUACAGGCAUGCAUAACCACAUCCAGCUAAUUUUUUGUAGAGAUGGGGUUUCUCCAUGUAUUGCCCAGGCUGGUCUCGAACUCCUUGGCUCAAGUGAUUCUCCCACCUUAGCCUCCCAAAGUGCUGGGAUUACAAGCAUGAGCCACCACACCUGGCCUAUGUGUGUUUUAUGAUUAAAAAAGAAAUACAUACAAUUAUUGGGACAGAACAAAAUAAAGAGAAAAAUACAAAUUACCUGUAAUUCAACUAUCCAGAGAUAAUUAUUUUUUACGGACUGAAUGAUGUUCUCCAAAAUUCAUAUGUUGAAGCCCUAGCCCCUAAUGUGAUUAAUAUGGUUUGGCUGUGUCCCCACCCAAAUCUCAUCUUGAAUUGUAACUCCCACAAUUCCCAUGUGUUGUGGGAAGAAACUAAUGGGAGGUAAUUGAAUCAUGGGGACGGGUCUUUCCCAUGCUGUUCUUAUGAUAGUGAAUAAGUCUCACGAGAUCUGAUGGCUUUAAAAAAUGGGAGUUUUCCUGUAUAAGCUCUCCCUCUCUUUGCCUGCUGCCAUCCAUGUAAGACAUGACUUUUUCCUCCUUGCCUUCCACCAUGAUUGUGAGGCCUCGCCAGCCAUGUGGAACUGUAAGUCCAUUAAAUGUCUUUCUUUUGUAAGUUGCCCAGUCUCAGGUAUGUCUUUAUCAGCAGUGUGAAAAUGAACUAAUACAGUAAAUUGGUACCAGUAGAGUGGGUUGCUGCUGUAAAUACCCGAAAAUGUGAAAACGACUUUGGAACUGGGUAACAGGCAGGGGUUGGAACAGUUUGGAGGGCUCAGAAGAAGACAGGAAAACGUGGGACAGUUUGGAACUUCCUAGAGACUUGUUGAAUGACUUUGCCCAAAAUGCUGAUAGUGAUAUAGACAAUGAAGUCCAGCCUGAGGUGGCUUCAGAUGGAGAUGAGGAACUUCUUGGGAACUGGAGCAAAGGUGACUCUUGUUAUGUUUAGCAGCAUUUUGCCCCUGGGCAUUUUGCCCCCAUCCUAGAGCUUUGUGGAACUUUGAACUCGAGAGAGAUAAUUUUGGGUAUCUGGCAGAAGAAAUUUCUAAGCAGCAAAGCAUUCCAGAGGUGACCUGGUUCACCACUUGGGUGCUGUUAAAGGCAUUCAGUUUCAAAAGGGAAAUGGAGAAUAAAAGUUCAGAAAACUUGCAGCCUGACAAUGUGAUAGAAAAGAAAAUCCCAUUUUCUGAGGAGAAAUUCAAGCUGGCUGCAGAAAUUUGCAUAAGUAAUGAGGAGCCAAAUGUUAAUCCCCAAGACAAUGGGGAAAAUGUCUCAAGGGCAUGUCAGAGGUCUUCACAGCAGCCCCUCUCAUCACAGGCCCAGAGGCCAAGGAGGAAAAAGUGGUUUUGUGGGCUGGGCCCAGGGUGCCUCGCUGUGUGCAGUCUAGGGACUUGGUGUCCUGCAUCCCAGCUGCUCCAGCCAUGACUAAAGGGGCCAAGGUACAGCUCAGAUUGUUGCUUCAGAGGGUACAAGCCCCCAGCCUUGGCAUCUUCCAUGUGGUGUUGAGCCUGUGUGUGCACAGAAGUCAAGAAUUGAAGUUUGGGAACCUCUGCCUAGAUUUCAGAGGAUGUAUGGAAAUGCCUGGAUGCCCAGGCAGAAGUUUGCUGCAGGGGCAGGGCUCUCAUGGAGAACCCCUAUGAGGGCAAUGCAAAAGGGAAAUGUGGGGUUGGAGUCCCCACACAGAUCUCUACUGAGACACCACCUAGUGGAGCUGUGAGAAGAGGGUCAUCACUAUCCUCCAGAACCCAGAAUGCUAGAUCCACCAACAGCUUACACUGUUUGCCUGAAAAAGCCACAGACACUCAAUGCCAGCCUGUUAAAGCAGCUGGGAGGGAGUCUGUACCCUUCAAAGCCUGGAUGUGAGACAUCGAGUUAAAGGAGAUCAUUUGGAGCUUUAAGAUUUGACUACCCCACAGGAUUUCAGACUUGCAUGGGGCUUGUAGCCCCUUUGUUUUAGCCAAUUUCUCUCAUUUGGAAUGGCUGUAUUUACCCAAUGCCUGAACCCCCACUGUAUCUAGGAAGUAACUAAUUUGCUUUUGAUUUUAUAGGCUCAUAGGCUGAAGGGACUUGCUUUGUCUGAGACUGUGGACUUUUGAGUUAAUGCUGAAAUGAGUUAUGACUUUGGAGGAAUAUUAGAAAGGCGUGAUUGGAUUUGAAAUGUGAGGACAUGAGAUUUGGAAGGGGCCAGGGGUGGAAUGAUAUGGUUUGGCUGUGUCCCCACCCAAAUCUCAUCUCUAAUUGUAACUUCCACAAUUCCCAUGUAUGAUGAGAGGAAACAGUGGGAGGUAAUUGAAUCACAGGGACGGGUCUUUCCCAUAUUGUUCUUGUGAUAGUGAAUAAGUCUCAUGAGCUCUGAAGGCUUUACAAAUGAGAGUUUCCCUUCACAAGCCCUCUCUCUCCCUCUCUUUGCCUGCUGCCAUCCAUGUAAGACAUGAUUUGUUCCUCCUUGUCUUCCACCAUGAUUGUGAGGCUCCCCAGCCAUGUGGAAGUGUAAGUCCAAUUAAACCUCUUUCUUUUGUAAAUUGCCCAGUCUUGGGUAUGUCUUUAUCAGCAGCAUGAAAACGGACUAAUACAGUGAUAGUAUUUGAAAAGGGGCCUUUGGGAGGUAAACAAGGUUAAACAAGGUCAUGAGGACCCUAAUCCAAUAGGAUUUGUGCCCUUAUGAAAACAGGGAGAGACAAACCAGAGCUCAUUGGCUAUCUCUUCCAUGUUGGGACACACAAAGAAGAUGGCCAUCUCCAAGACAGAAAUGUGAUCAUGCUGGCACCUUGACCCUGAACUUCUAGCCUUUGGAACUGUGAAAAUAAAUUUGUUUUUUACGCCAC